RNAcentral lists this unclassified non-coding RNA (336 nucleotides) under soil metagenome. RNAcentral describes it as "partial contains 5.8S ribosomal RNA, internal transcribed spacer 2, and large subunit ribosomal RNA". The stretch from base 1 to 120 matches the Rfam family "5.8S ribosomal RNA", at positions 35 to 154 of the family's 154-position model. The record is from RNAcentral.
GAUGAAGAACGUAGCGAAAUGCGAUAAGUAAUGUGAAUUGCAGAAUUCAGUGAAUCAUCGAAUCUUUGAACGCACAUUGCGCCCGCCAGUAUUCUGGCGGGCAUGCCUGUUCGAGCGUCAUUUCAACCAUCAAGCCCCCGGCUUGUGUUGGGGACCUGCGGCUGCCGCAGACCCUGAAAAGCAGUGGCGGGCUCGCUGUCACACCGAGCGUAGUAGCAUACAUCUCGCUCUGGGCGUGCUGCGGGUUCCGGCCGUUAAACCAACUUCAUAACCCAAGGUUGACCUCGGAUCAGGUAGGAAGACCCGCUGAACUUAAGCAUAUCAAUAAGCGGAGGA